GUUGUUGCUGGCCCUUUCGGGGGCAUGUGCACACCCACCAUCCUCAUCUCUCCACCUGUGCACCUCUUGUAGACCUGAAUUGACUUUCCGAGGCAACUCGGUCGGGAAGAUUGCUGUGCUCUGUGAGCCAGCUUUCUUUGCAUGUCUAGGCCUAUGUUUUUCAUAUACCCCUAUAGAAUGUAACAGAAUGUAUCAUUGGGCCUUGUGCCUAUAAACCUUAUACAACUUUCAGCAACGGAUCUCUUGGCUCUCGCAUCGAUGAAGAACGCAGCGAAAUGCGAUAAGUAAUGUGAAUUGCAGAAUUCAGUGAAUCAUCGAAUCUUUGAACGCACCUUGCGCUCCUUGGUAUUCCGAGGAGCAUGCCUGUUUGAGUGUCAUUAAAUUCUCAACCUUAUUAACUUUUGUUGAUAAUGGAUUGGAUUGUGGGGGUUUCUUUUGCUGGAUUCUUCACAGAGAUCAGCUCCCCUUAAAUGCAUUAGCUGGUGCCCCGCGUGGACCAUCUAUUGGUGUGAUAAUUAUCUACGCCGUGGAUGUCUGCAAUCAUAUGGGUUUUGCACUGCUUCUAACCGUCUGUUCAUUCGGACAAUACAUGACAAUUUGACCUCAAAUCAGGUAGGACUACCCGCUGAACUUAAGCAUAUCAAUAAGCGGAGGAAAAGAAACUAACAAGGAUUCCCCUAGUAACUGCGAGUGAAGCGGGAAAAGCUCAAAUUUAAAAUCUGGCGGUCUCCGGCCGUCC
This 739-nucleotide ribosomal RNA is filed under the name Alnicola cf. subconspersa PAM03/27. Its description in RNAcentral is "eukaryotic LSU rRNA". The stretch from base 224 to 377 matches the Rfam family "5.8S ribosomal RNA". Lineage: Eukaryota; Fungi; Basidiomycota; Agaricomycetes; Agaricales; Hymenogastraceae. The record is from RNAcentral.